Long non-coding RNA from Oncorhynchus tshawytscha (Chinook salmon), 1322 nucleotides. NCBI's taxonomy places the organism in Eukaryota, Metazoa, Chordata, Actinopteri, Salmoniformes, Salmonidae. The record is from Ensembl.
AUCAACUCUAAUACUCUGUUAGGUCAUCAACUCUAAUACUCUGUUAGGUCAUCAACUCUAAUACUCUGUUAGGUCAUCAACUCUAAUUCUCUGUUAGGUCAUCAACUCUAUUACUCUGUUAGGUCAUCAACUCUAAUACUCUGUUAGGUCAUCAACUCUAAUUCUCUGGUAGAAGUAGUGGAACAUAUAUCUUUGAAGAUUCAAUUACCGCCGAGAGAGAGAAGGUAGAGAGUGAGAGAAGACAGACAGAGUGGGUAGAGAGAGAGAGAGCGCACGGGUGGAGAGAGAGUAAAGCCCCUUGAAUUGAAUUGAAUUGAAUUGAGAGAGAAGACAGACAGAGAGGGUAGAGAGAGAAGGUAGAGAGAGAGAGAAUACAGUCAGAGAGGGUAGAGAGAGAGAGAGAGAGAGAGAAUACAGACAGAGAGGGUAGAGGGAGAGAGAGAGAGAGAGAGAGAGAGAAAGGUGUCUCCAUAGCAGGCACAAAUUGAAUGGGCUAUUUGUAGAACAUAUGUCUUUGAAGUGGUUGUAUACCUAAUAGUUGUGAGGACACUGGUGAUGGCUACUAUGCUGCCAUGCUUAUCCACAAUGGCUAAGUGAUUCCCAAAUUACACCCUGUUCAUAUAUAGUGCACUACUUUUGACCAGGGCCCAUAGGGCUUUGGUAAAAUGUGUAUCUUUUCAGCAUACGUCUUCGGGGCAUGGACUCUACAAGGUGUCGAAAGUGAUCCACAGGGAUGCAGGCCCAUGUUGAUUUUUUUCCCAAUGUUGUGUCAUAUUGGCUGCAUGUCCAUUGGGUGGUGGACCAUUCUUGAUACACACGGAAACUGUUGAAUGUGAAAAACCCAGCAGCGUUGCAGUUCUUGACACAAACCGCUGCGCCUGGCACCUACUUGAUAUCGUACCCCGUUCAAAUGCACUUAAUUCUUUUGUAUUGCCUAUUCACCCUCUGAAUGGCACACAUACACUAUCCAUGUCUCAAUUGUCUCAAAGCUUCAAAAUCCUUCUUUAACCCGUCUCCUCCACUUCAUCUACACUGAUUAUUGGAUUUAACAAGUGACAUCAAUAAGGGAUCAUAGCUUUUCACCUGGAUUCACAUGGUCAGUCUGUCAUUGAAGGAUCUGCAAAUAAAUUCAUUAAAAAUCCUACAAUGUGAUUUUCUGGGAAAAAAAUUCUCAUUUUGUCUGUCAGAGUUGAAGUGUAGUACCUAUGAUGAAAAUUACAGGCCUCUCCCAUCUUUUUAAGUGGGAGAACUUGCACAAUUGGUGGCUGACUAAAUACUUGUUUGCCCCACUGUAAAUAAAUGUACUACGUUUGGAGAUUCAA